AGAGUUUGAUCAUGGCUCAGGACGAACGCUGACGGUGUGCUUUAGACAUGCAAGUCGAACGAGAAAGUGGAGCAAUCCAUGAGUAAGGUGGCGCACGGGUGAGUAACACGUGGGUAAUCUGCCUCUGGGUGGGGAAUAACUCUGGGAAACCGGAGCUAAUACCGCAUAAGCCCCCAUUGAAUAAAUGGACGGGAAAGGCGAAAGUCGCCGAGAGAGGAGCCCGCGGUCGAUUAGCUAGUUGGUGAGGUAAAGGCUCACCAAGGCUGUGAUCGAUAGCUGGUCUGAGAGGACGACCAGCCACACUGGGACUGAGACACGGCCCAGACUCCUACGGGAGGCAGCAGUGGGGAAUCUUGCGCAAUGGGCGAAAGCCUGACGCAGCAACGCCGCGUGGGGGAUGAAUGCCUUCGGGUUGUAAACCCCUUUCAGCAGGGACGAAAUUGACGGUACCUGCAGAAGAAGCCCCGGCCAACUACGUGCCAGCAGCCGCGGUAAUACGUAGGGGGCAAGCGUUGUCCGGAUUCAUUGGGCGUAAAGGGCGCGUAGGCGGCUUGACAAGUCGGAUGUGAAAGCUCCAGGCUCAACCUGGAGAUGCCACCCGAUACUGUUAUGGCUAGAGUCCGGUAGGGGACCACGGAAUUCCUGGUGUAGCGGUGAAAUGCGCAGAUAUCAGGAGGAACACCGGUAGCGAAGGCGGUGGUCUGGGCCGGCACUGACGCUGAGGAGCGAAAGCGUGGGUAGCAAACAGGAUUAGAUACCCUCGUAGUCC
This 769-nucleotide ribosomal RNA is filed under the name uncultured Acidimicrobiales bacterium. RNAcentral describes it as "bacterial SSU rRNA". It matches the Rfam family "Bacterial small subunit ribosomal RNA", at positions 8 to 796 of the family's 1533-position model. The record is from RNAcentral. Lineage: Bacteria; Bacillati; Actinomycetota; Acidimicrobiia; Acidimicrobiales.